GGUCAAAUCAUCAUGCCCCUUAUACCCUGGGCUACACACGUGCUACAAUGGUGCAUACAAAGAGAAGCGACGCGGCGACGCCAAGCAAACCUCACAAAGUGCAUCUCAGUUCGGAUUGUAGUCUGCAACUCGACUACAUGAAGAUGGAAUCGCUAGUAAUCGCGGAUCAGCAUGCCGCGGUGAAUACGUUCCCGGGUCUU
RNAcentral lists this ribosomal RNA (200 nucleotides) under uncultured prokaryote. RNAcentral describes it as "partial 16S ribosomal RNA". It matches the Rfam family "Bacterial small subunit ribosomal RNA", at positions 1183 to 1382 of the family's 1533-position model. The record is from RNAcentral.